Molecule: ribosomal RNA, 533 nt
Filed under: Citrobacter sp. Cpo126
Lineage: Bacteria; Pseudomonadati; Pseudomonadota; Gammaproteobacteria; Enterobacterales; Enterobacteriaceae
Description: partial 23S ribosomal RNA
Rfam family: Bacterial large subunit ribosomal RNA
Source: RNAcentral
GACUAAGCGUACACGGUGGAUGCCCUGGCAGUCAGAGGCGAUGAAGGACGUGCUAAUCUGCGAUAAGCGUCGGUAAGGUGAUAUGAACCGUUAUAACCGGCGAUUUCCGAAUGGGGAAACCCAGUGUGUUUCGACACACUAUCAUUACGUGAAUACAUAGCGUAAUGAAGCGAACCGGGGGAACUGAAACAUCUAAGUACCCCGAGGAAAAGAAAUCAACCGAGAUUCCCCCAGUAGCGGCGAGCGAACGGGGAGCAGCCCAGAGUCUGAAUCAGCAUGUGUGUUAGUGGAAGCGUCUGGAAAGUCGCACGAUACAGGGUGAAAGUCCCGUACACAAAAGUGCAUGUGUUGUGAACUCGAAGAGUAGGGCGGGACACGUGGUAUCCUGUCUGAAUAUGGGGGGACCAUCCUCCAAGGCUAAAUACUCCUGACUGACCGAUAGUGAACCAGUACCGUGAGGGAAAGGCGAAAAGAACCCCGGCGAGGGGAGUGAAAAAGAACCUGAAACCGUGUACGUACAAGCAGUGGGAGCA